UUGAACGCUGGCGGCCGGCCUAACACCUGCAAGUCGCGCGGAUGAAGGGAGCUUGCUCCUGGAUUCAGCGGCGGACGGGUGAGUAAUGCCUAGGAAUCUGCCUGGUAGUGGGGGAUAACGUCCGGAAACGGGCGCUAAUACCGCAUACGUCCUGAGGGAGAAAGUGGGGGAUCUUCGGACCUCACGCUAUCAGAUGAGCCUAGGUCGGAUUAGCUAGUUGGUGGGGUAAAGGCCUACCAAGGCGACGAUCCGUAACUGGUCUGAGAGGAUGAUCAGUCACACUGGAACUGAGACACGGUCCAGACUCCUACGGGAGGCAGCAGUGGGGAAUAUUGGACAAUGGGCGAAAGCCUGAUCCAGCCAUGCCGCGUGUGUGAAGAAGGUCUUCGGAUUGUAAAGCACUUUAAGUUGGGAGGAAGGGCAGUAAGUUAAUACCUUGCUGUUUUGACGUUACCAACAGAAUAAGCACCGGCUAACUUCGUG
Molecule: ribosomal RNA, 483 nt
Filed under: uncultured bacterium
Lineage: Bacteria
Description: partial 16S ribosomal RNA
Rfam family: Bacterial small subunit ribosomal RNA
Source: RNAcentral